RNAcentral lists this ribosomal RNA (460 nucleotides) under uncultured bacterium. RNAcentral describes it as "partial 16S ribosomal RNA". It matches the Rfam family "Bacterial small subunit ribosomal RNA", at positions 338 to 795 of the family's 1533-position model. The record is from RNAcentral.
CCUACGGGGGGCUGCAGUGAGGAAUAUUGGUCAAUGGGCUUACGCCUGAACCAGCCAAGUCGCGUGAGGGAAGACUGCCCUAUGGGUUGUAAACCUCUUUUGUCAGGGAGCAAUUGGCGCUACGUGUAGCGUUAUCGAGAGUACCUGAAGAAAAAGCAUCGGCUAACUCCGUGCCAGCAGCCGCGGUAAUACGGAGGAUGCGAGCGUUAUCCGGAUUGAUUGGGUUUAAAGGGUGCGUAGGCGGAAUGCCAAGUCAGCGGUAAAAUCGCGGGGCUCAACCUCGCUCCGCCGUUGAAACUGGCGUUCUUGAGUGGGCGAGAAGUAUGCGGAAUGCGUGGUGUAGCGGUGAAAUGCAUAGAUAUCACGCAGAACUCCGAUUGCGAAGGCAGCAUACCGGCGCCCAACUGACGCUGAAGCACGAAAGCGUGGGUAUCGAACAGGAUUAGAUACCCUGGUAGUC